RNAcentral lists this ribosomal RNA (372 nucleotides) under uncultured organism. RNAcentral describes it as "bacterial SSU rRNA". It matches the Rfam family "Bacterial small subunit ribosomal RNA", at positions 526 to 896 of the family's 1533-position model. The record is from RNAcentral.
CGUAGGGUGCGAGCGUUAAUCGGAAUUACUGGGCGUAAAGUGUGCGCAGGCGGCCGAGCAAGUCGAGUGUGAAAGCCCCGGGCUUAACUUGGGAAUUGCGCUCGAAACUACUUGGCUGGAGUGUGGCAGAGGGGGGUGGAAUUCCACGUGUAGCGGUGAAAUGCGUAGAGAUGUGGAGGAACACCAAUGGCGAAGGCAGCCCCCUGGGCCAACACUGACGCUCAUGCACGAAAGCGUGGGGAGCAAACAGGAUUAGAUACCCUGGUAGUCCACGCCCUAAACGAUGAUGACUAGUUGUUGGGGGAGUUAAAUCCCUUAGUAACGCAGCUAACGCGCGAAGUCAUCCGCCUGGGGAGUACGGUCGCAAGAUUA